Non-coding RNA from Manis javanica (Malayan pangolin), 193 nucleotides. The record is from RefSeq and is a predicted model, not a curated record. NCBI's taxonomy places the organism in Eukaryota, Metazoa, Chordata, Mammalia, Pholidota, Manidae.
AAGACUAUACUUUCAGGGAUCAUUUCUAUAGUUCGUUACUAGAGAGGUUUCUCUGAACGUGCAGAGUACCGGAAACCACGAGAAGGAGGCACAGCAUGAAGCCGGCUUUUGGUGUUGCCUUUGUAACACAUGUUUGCUGUUGAUGAUUGUUCUUCUCUUCUUUCAGAAGAAGAGAAGGCGCUGUCUGAGUGGU